Molecule: long non-coding RNA, 1552 nt
Filed under: Homo sapiens (human)
Lineage: Eukaryota; Metazoa; Chordata; Mammalia; Primates; Hominidae
Description: HSALNT0351341
Source: RNAcentral
UGUAAAUCAGAGCACUCUAACCCAUCAAUAGGAGAAAAGGAAUUUAAAAUUGGGUCUCUAAUCUGAGGUAGAGAUUUGAGCGAUCUCUGCGAAGUUGAAACCCUGCGUUACUGUCUGGGGAAUUCACACCUGGGCAAUUUACACACACUUACUGAUUAACUUCUUCAGUUAACAAUUUUGAGCAGAUUACCUCAGUAUGCUUCAAUUCUACCCAAAUAGGUAGCAAACAGGUGUCAAUUGGGAGUCAUUAUAGUCUCUGAAAUCUCUUUACUUAUGGCAGUGCUCUAACUCAGAGUCAAGGUGGAAUUGAUCCAAGCUCAUUUGUUAUUCAAAGUGAGAGUGAGAAUUUUCUCAUGAUAGUAAAGUCAAGGGACAGAAUCUGAGAAUAGGAAAGAAUUUCUAAAACUGACAACUUACUUGUAAGAAAGAGCUAAUGUGCCUUCAAAUGAGAUUUUUUUUCCUGAUUUCCAUUGGAGUUCUGCACCCAGAUUGGCUGGCUGUACUGAUUCCUUAUAUAACAGAAUACAUAGAGGGAGGGAUGGAACAGGAGGCCCUUGGAGGCUGGCCAGGCUGGAGGUAUUCAUACAAACCAACAUUUCCUGACUGAAUGCAAAUAGGACACUUCUUUGAAAUGAGGAGCGACAAAUUUUUAACCUUUCUAGAAUUCAUGACAGAAUACUGUUUUUUUUUUUUUUUUAACGCUGUCUCCAUUGAAAGUCAGUUACUGAAUGGUAGGACACAAUUCUUAUGAAUUUUGUAGAAAGACAAAUAAUAUUCUCAUCUACAACUGUGUGAAGAAAAAUAGAAAAAUACUUGCCAUGUGUUAAAUCCUUACACUAUGGAGAAUACUAUGCAAACUGCUUUCAACUGCCUGCGUUCAUUUAAGAAUCACAACAACUAUGGAUGGCAGCAAAAUUCAGAAGGCUUAGACUACCACUGUCCUCCACAAGGUGCUCCAGCAGAUUGUCACCUUAUUCAACACAAGAGGUUGGUUGGAAUGAAACUGGCCUGGAGAAAUUAUUCACUGAAUUUUUAUCAGCAUUGGGAAGUCCUGGAGCCCUGCUUGUUGAAUGAGUUAGGGGUGGAAGGGCUCUCUCAGGCCAUGACAACUCCCUAAUGCUGUGAAGAGCUACUUCCAAGGAAUCAGUCUCUAUCUGGAAAAGAAAGAAGAGAGCCUCUGUACAUGGGAAGUUGGAGCAAGAAAUCAUGAGAUCCUUCUUUUUUUCAUCAAACUUGCAAGUAAGAUUAAUAGCUUAGGAACAGACUUGUGUCUUCAUGAAAUGAUUACUAUAGACACUCUUCAUUAUAUUCCCAUAUGUUUAGUUAUUUUAAAAGACUAUCUUUUCUGCCUGCAUAAUGAAAUGAUUGAAUCAAAUUUGUCACAAUACUUGUUGGUAAUGUCAAGCAACUGUAUGAUAAAGCAUCCAGUUCUUAGGGGCAUUAGCUCACCAUGGAUGAUAUUAUUAAUUUACCCAUGUACUUAAUUAUUGAUUCUACUACAUUUAUUGUAUUCAGUAUUUUUGCUUGUAUGAAAUGUUCACUUUUAACACUG